AGCCUCUUUACAGCUACCACAGUUCCAUCUGGGAGCUUUCCUCGGUAAACGUUUCCAAAGCCACCUUUUCCUAAGAUGUUCUUGUUGCUGAAGUUCUCUGUUGCAACCUGAAGCUCUCUGAACUGAAACCUCUUCACAUUUCCUAGGUUGACAUUCUCUGUGUGUUGCUCUGCAAUAACCAAUGCGUUACGACAAAAACAACCGUGGCAUGCUAGUAACUGAUACCAGGAUGCUCCCAAAUUUCACAAGCAUUGAGGCAUUAUGGAUUUAUGACUUAAAUCAGUAUUGGCAUUUUACUUACC
RNAcentral lists this long non-coding RNA (302 nucleotides) under Oryza brachyantha (malo sina). RNAcentral's name for it is "long non-coding RNA (OBRA_LNC000614)". The record is from RNAcentral. Lineage: Eukaryota; Viridiplantae; Streptophyta; Magnoliopsida; Poales; Poaceae.